GGGGGCAGAGAAGGGACAGACGGCCACGUGCCAGCCACGCGUCCCACAGGCCCGCCCCCAGCAUGGCCUGGAGCCCAGGCCUGCCAGAGGGGUAACCACACACUAGUGGGGUCUCCAGGAGCUUUGGAGAGGGCUGACCUUAGGUAGACUGACCCAGGCCAGCUCGCGCCUCUCCCAGGAAGGGUGACAUGGUGACCCACAGGUGUAGACGGCACUGUGUGAGCAGGGCCUCCCCAUGCACGUAGACAGCACCGUCCACACCCAGCCUGGCCCACAACACGUGGUGCACGGGAACCAAGACGCUGAACCACGCACAGAGGCCAGCCGGGGUCCUGUCCACGGUCCCCGCCACAUUAUCAAGACGGGCACCUGCAGCUCCAGGCAUCUUCCGAGCCUGCCACGUGGGCAGGCCCCUUUGCUCUGAAGGGCAAAGCCAGCAAACACCCGGCCAGGACCAGGGUGCCUGCACCCUGCCCACCAGCUCAGCCCUAAAAAGGUGGGCACCCGGCCGCUGCUCACUGCCCCACCUGCCCGUGGUCCGCUCAGCAGCCUCCAGCCGCCACGCCCCACCCCCAGGCCGGAGCCAGCGUGAGACCCGAGAGCGCCUGAGCAGAACUCCCCCAGUCCUCUCCUUCCCAGAAAGGGACCCAGCCUCCGAGCCCCGGCCCUGCUCCGCUGCGAGUGCCCGGGCCCGCCAGUGUCUGAGUCAAGCUCCAAAGGGUUCGGCCGGCAGCCCUUCUCCUCAUGCGGCCGAGGCCGGGCCUCCAGGCUGUGUUCAAAGCUGGCUCUGCGUUCACAUUUCAAAGGGAUGCCACAACUGUGCCUGUCCUCACAGGCCGGGCGGGGGGCGGGGGUGGUGGCCAGGCACAGCAGGGGGCCCCCCAGUUCCCUUUCUCUCUCCCUGCAGCCCUCCUGGGGGAGGCAGAGGCCCACUAGCCCCUGCAGGGCCCACGCACUGCGCAGAGAACGCCUAGCGGCAAGCGUUCCGAGCCGAACAGCGAGGACCCGGGGGAGCGGGAGCUGCGGGCACACAGCACUCCAGCCCUUGAAGCUGCUCCCCAGGGCCCGGGACAAGGCGGACCCCGCUCCGUGGGUACGCUGGAACUGAGGGGUUACGCCACAGGACGGCGAACGGGGGAGCCGGGUCUCCCGCUGCUGGAAAGAAACUGACUCAUCAGCAAGGGGAGACUGCAGACUCGAUCACCAGCAGGAGCUCACGGCUCACUGAGUGCGGACACGGGCAGCCCCACACAGGAGCGGCUGCAGGUGUGUGCCUGUCCUGCUCCGCCAGCUGAGCGGGCACAGAGCAGCGACACCCUGGCAGCACGAGGUCGGGCGCCCAGACCUGCGUUUCUGAAACCAUCCUCCAGUGAGAGGAGAACUGGCCGAUUCCAGGGCUGGGAGCACCCGUCGGGCCGGGAGGAAGGAAGGAGCUGCCCACAUCGCCCCACAUUGACGGAGGCUCAUCAACAAAACCCAGGAGCCUCCUGGAGGCGUUCCCAGCGGCCAGAGCUGGAACUACUGGCCCCACGAAAGAAGUGGGACCGCACUGGAACUUGAGGCAUAAGUGCACAUGAAUCCACACCGACAUUAGAAAUGACUGAGCA
This 1607-nucleotide long non-coding RNA is filed under the name Capra hircus (goat). RNAcentral's name for it is "lncRNA (ENSCHIG00010003805.1)". Lineage: Eukaryota; Metazoa; Chordata; Mammalia; Artiodactyla; Bovidae. The record is from RNAcentral.